GACGAACGCUGGCGGCGUACCUAAUACAUGCAAGUCGAACGCCCUCGACCUUCGGGUCACAUGAGGGAGUGGCGAACGGGUGCGUAACACGUGAGAAACCUGCCCUAGAGACGGGAAUAACUCGAGGAAACUCGUGCUAAUGCCCGAUGCCCUCUUUGGACCGCAUGGUCCGCUGAGGAAAUGCUCAGGCGCUCUAGGAGGGUCUCGCGGCCUAUCAGCUUGUUGGUGAGGUAACGGCUCACCAAGGCAUCGACGGGUAGCUGGUCUGAGAGGACGAUCAGCCACACUGGGACUGAGACACGGCCCAG
Molecule: ribosomal RNA, 308 nt
Filed under: uncultured bacterium
Lineage: Bacteria
Description: bacterial SSU rRNA
Rfam family: Bacterial small subunit ribosomal RNA
Source: RNAcentral